RNAcentral lists this ribosomal RNA (452 nucleotides) under uncultured Flavobacterium sp. RNAcentral describes it as "bacterial SSU rRNA". It matches the Rfam family "Bacterial small subunit ribosomal RNA", at positions 346 to 795 of the family's 1533-position model. Lineage: Bacteria; Pseudomonadati; Bacteroidota; Flavobacteriia; Flavobacteriales; Flavobacteriaceae. The record is from RNAcentral.
AGGCUGCAGUGAGGAAUAUUGGUCAAUGGGCGCAAGCCUGAACCAGCCAUGCCGCGUGCAGGAUGACGGUCCUAUGGAUUGUAAACUGCUUUUGUACAGGAAGAAACACUCCCUCGUGAGGGAGCUUGACGGUACUGUAAGAAUAAGGAUCGGCUAACUCCGUGCCAGCAGCCGCGGUAAUACGGAGGAUCCAAGCGUUAUCCGGAAUCAUUGGGUUUAAAGGGUCCGUAGGCGGUUUUAUAAGUCAGUGGUGAAAUCUGGUCGCUCAACGAUCAAACGGCCAUUGAUACUGUAAGACUUGAAUUACUUGGAAGUAACUAGAAUAUGUAGUGUAGCGGUGAAAUGCUUAGAGAUUACAUGGAAUACCAAUUGCGAAGGCAGGUUACUACAAGUGGAUUGACGCUGAUGGACGAAAGCGUGGGGAGCGAACAGGAUUAGAUACCCCGGUAGUC